Molecule: small nucleolar RNA, 82 nt
Organism: Malus domestica (apple)
Lineage: Eukaryota; Viridiplantae; Streptophyta; Magnoliopsida; Rosales; Rosaceae
Product: small nucleolar RNA R160
Source: RefSeq, a predicted model, not a curated record
AGCAAAAUGAUGAAAUCAGAUUUGUUUUAAUCUGAAUUUGAUGUGGAAUUUCAAAUCAUGCCUUCAAAGUUCUCUGAUUGCU